This is a long non-coding RNA of Heterocephalus glaber (naked mole-rat), 523 nucleotides long. Lineage: Eukaryota; Metazoa; Chordata; Mammalia; Rodentia; Bathyergidae. The record is from Ensembl.
GGGGCCGAUCGCGCCGGAAGUGGGGGUGGGCGGCGCGGCGGGCGCGCGGCGAAGGCCGGGAGUCUGUCCGUGCAGCGGCCGCAGGCUUCGGCCCCGCCUUUUGCGUCUCCGCCGGACGCGGCCGCAGUGGGCUCCGUCGCCGCGGGGCACUGCGUCCUCCCCGCCCCGCCGCCGCCGCCCAGUCGGCUGGCCAGUCAGUCGGUUUGUCAGGCAGUCAGCCACUCAGGAGCAGCUGGCGUUCGUGCGUGUCCGGGGCAAGAGCGCCGCGCCCGGGGAGGAGGUGGUGGCGACGGCAGCCCGGGCCGCUGAAGGAGUGAGCGGCCGUCGCGCUGGUACUUUCAAUGCGAUAUUGAAAAGGAGUGAAAGAGGAAUUGGGAGUAGCUUCUGUGAGGGAUACAGAAACUACUAAUAAGAUGGAAUGAAGAGAUAGAAUCGAAGAGAUGGAGAUUGAAGAAUAGAAGUAGAACAUUUUGGAAUGAACUUUGGAAGAGAGAGAAUAGGACAUGAAGGAGUAGAGAGAAGA